Molecule: ribosomal RNA, 305 nt
Filed under: uncultured bacterium
Lineage: Bacteria
Description: bacterial SSU rRNA
Rfam family: Bacterial small subunit ribosomal RNA
Source: RNAcentral
UGUUUCCUACGGGACGCAGCAGUGGGGAAUAUUGCGCAAUGGGCGAAAGCCUGACGCAGCGACGCCGCGUGAGGGAUGAAGGUCUUCGGAUCGUAAACCUCUGUCAGCAGGGAAGAACGGUCACUGUGCUAAUCAGCAGUGAAUUGACGGUACCUGCAAAGGAAGCACCGGCUAACUCCGUGCCAGCAGCCGCGGUAAUACGGAGGGUGCGAGCGUUAAUCGGAAUUACUGGGCGUAAAGCGCUCGUAGGCGGUAUGUCAAGUCAAGGGUGACAUCCCGGCGCUCAACGGGGGUACAGCCGUUGA